GUCGAGAAUCUUCUGCAAUGGACGAAAGUCUGACAGAGCGACGCCGCGUGGAGGAAGAAGGCCUUCGGGUUGUAAACUCCUGUCACAGGUUAAGAAGGGUACUCUGCCUAACAGGCGGGGUAUUCGGACAAAGGCCUGAGAGGAAGCCACGGCUAACUCUGUGCCAGCAGCCGCGGUAAGACAGAGGUGGCAAGCGUUGUUCGGAACCACUGGGCGUAAAGGGCGCGUAGGCGGUGACAUAAGUCGGUGGUGAAAUCCCUCGGCUCAACCGAGGCAUUGCUUCCGAUACUAUGUCGCUUGAGUGCGGGAGGGGAGAGUGGAACUUCUGGUGGAGCGGUGAAAUGCGUAGAUAUCAGAAGGAACGCCGGAGGCGAAGGCGGCUCUCUGGACCGUUACUGACGCUGAGGCGCGAAAGCUAGGGGAGCAAAUGGGAUUAGAUACCCGAGUAGUCC
RNAcentral lists this ribosomal RNA (452 nucleotides) under uncultured bacterium. RNAcentral describes it as "bacterial SSU rRNA". It matches the Rfam family "Bacterial small subunit ribosomal RNA", at positions 354 to 796 of the family's 1533-position model. The record is from RNAcentral.